UGCGUAGGGACCAAGCGUUGUUCGGAUUUACUGGGCGUAAAGGGCGCGUAGGCGGCCAUUCAAGUCAGCUGUGAAAUCUCCGGGCUUAACUCGGAACGGUCAGCUGAUACUGCUUUGCUAGAGUGCAGAAGGGGCAAUCGGAAUUCUUGGUGUAGCGGUGAAAUGCGUAGAUACCAAGAGGAACACCUGAGGUGAAGACGGGUUGCUGGGCUGACACUGACGCUGAGGCGCGAAAGCUAGGGUAGCAAACGGG
This 253-nucleotide ribosomal RNA is filed under the name uncultured bacterium. Its description in RNAcentral is "partial 16S ribosomal RNA". It matches the Rfam family "Bacterial small subunit ribosomal RNA", at positions 524 to 776 of the family's 1533-position model. The record is from RNAcentral.